UAUCAGCUUGUUGGUGAGGUAAUGGCUCACCAAGGCGUCGACGGGUAGCUGGUCUGAGAGGACGAUCAGCCACACUGGGACUGAGACACGGCCCAGACUCCUACGGGAGGCAGCAGUGGGGAAUCUUGCGCAAUGGGCGAAAGCCUGACGCAGCAACGCCGCGUGGGGGAUGAAGGCCUUCGGGUCGUAAACCCCUUUCAGCAGGGACGAAAAUGACGGUACCUGCAGAAGAAGGACCGGCCAACUACGUGCCAGCAGCCGCGGUAACACGUAGGGUCCAAGCGUUGUCCGGAUUCAUUGGGCGUAAAGAGCUCGUAGGCGGUUUUGUAAGUCGGGUGUGAAAACUCAGGGCUCAACCCUGAGACGCCACCCGAUACUGCAAUGACUCGAGUCCGGUAGGGGAGCAUGGAAUUCCUGGUGUAGCGGUGAAAUGCGCAGAUAUCAGGAGGAACACCAGUAGCGAAGGCGGUGCUCUGGGCCGGUACUGACGCUGAGGAGCGAAAGCGUGGGGAGCGAACAGGAUUAGAUACCCUGGUAGUCCACGCCGUAAACGUUGGGCACUAGGUGUGGGAUUCAAUCAACGGAUUCCGUGCCGUAGCUAACGCAUUAA
This 610-nucleotide ribosomal RNA is filed under the name uncultured Actinomycetes bacterium. RNAcentral's name for it is "bacterial SSU rRNA". It matches the Rfam family "Bacterial small subunit ribosomal RNA", at positions 239 to 863 of the family's 1533-position model. Lineage: Bacteria; Bacillati; Actinomycetota; Actinomycetes. The record is from RNAcentral.